Molecule: ribosomal RNA, 204 nt
Filed under: uncultured bacterium
Lineage: Bacteria
Description: partial 16S ribosomal RNA
Rfam family: Bacterial small subunit ribosomal RNA
Source: RNAcentral
UACGUAGGGGGCAAGCGUUGUCCGGAUUUAUUGGGCGUAAAGAGCGUGUAGGCGGUCAUGUAGGUCCGUUGUGAAAACUCGAGCUCAACCUCGAGACGCCGAUGGAAACCAUAUGACUAGAGUCCGGAAGAGGAGAGUGGAAUUCCUGGUGUAGCGGUGAAAUGCGCAGAUAUCAGGAGAACACCGGUGGCGAAGGCGGGCGAC